GCGUUCCGUACGGAACGCCAAAUUACCCCCUAAAAUUUCAGCACCUCGGCUAGGGCCAUUUAUUUUAUUUCGCAGAAAAUAAUCACCAUCCACCAACGCCAUCUAGCGGCCACGAUACGCACCUUUAUGACAUCCCCACUGGAGGAGGAGCUGAAUAACUAUCGAUCUCUACAACCAUUUCCAACAAUUAAUAUCGAUUUUAUCGUGCCAGUGCAGAUACAGCUGAAUGUCUCUGUGAUAAUAAAUUUGUUUUUGUUUUCUAAACGUUCAUCAAUUACUGGUUUUCAAUACUGUUUAUCUCGCUUGUUGCAAUAACAUACCAGUUUAUGUCGCCGUUGAAAUGGGCGACGCUGUCUGGAGUGUUGCUUUAAUUUGGUCGAUUAAAACCACAUUAAGUGUCCUCAGCGUCGCAGAUUCACUCCGGGUAGUGCCGGGCAAAUCUCUGUGAAUGAUGAUCUCCAAACCGAUCACGAUUUGAUGGCCCUACUUCUCCAAACAAAAACAAAUUUAUUAUCACAGAGUCAUUCACCUGUAUCUGCCACUGGCACGAUAAAAUUGAUAUUAAUUGUU
Molecule: long non-coding RNA, 570 nt
Organism: Daphnia magna
Lineage: Eukaryota; Metazoa; Arthropoda; Branchiopoda; Diplostraca; Daphniidae
Exons: 2
Source: RefSeq, a predicted model, not a curated record